AACGAACGCUGGCGGCAUGCCUAACACAUGCAAGUCGAACGAAGGCUUCGGCCUUAGUGGCGCACGGGUGCGUAACGCGUGGGAAUCUGCCCCUCGGUUCGGAAUAACAGUUAGAAAUGACUGCUAAUACCGGAUGAUGACUUCGGUCCAAAGAUUUAUCGCCGAGGGAUGAGCCCGCGUAAGAUUAGGUAGUUGGUGGGGUAAAGGCCUACCAAGCUGACGAUCUUUAGCUGGUCUGAGAGGAUGAUCAGCCACACUGGGACUGAGACACGGCCCAGACUCCUACGGGAAGCAGCAGUGGGGAAUAUUGGACAAUGGGCGAAAGCCUGAUCCAGCAAUGCCGCGUGAGUGAUGAAGGCCUUAGGGUUGUAAAGCUCUUUUACCAGGGAUGAUAAUGACAGUACCUGGAGAAUAAGCUCCGGCUAACUCCGUGCCAGCCGCCGCGGUAA
Molecule: ribosomal RNA, 449 nt
Filed under: uncultured bacterium
Lineage: Bacteria
Description: partial 16S ribosomal RNA
Rfam family: Bacterial small subunit ribosomal RNA
Source: RNAcentral